This 233-nucleotide ribosomal RNA is filed under the name Vibrio rotiferianus. RNAcentral describes it as "partial 16S ribosomal RNA". It matches the Rfam family "Bacterial small subunit ribosomal RNA", at positions 67 to 300 of the family's 1533-position model. Lineage: Bacteria; Pseudomonadati; Pseudomonadota; Gammaproteobacteria; Vibrionales; Vibrionaceae. The record is from RNAcentral.
CUGAACCUUCGGGGAACGAUAACGGCGUCGAGCGGCCCAUUGGAGAGUAAUGCCUAGGAAAUUGCCCUGAUGUGGGGGAUAACCAUUGGAAACGAUGGCUAAUACCGCAUAACGCCUACGGGCCAAAUAGGGGGACCUUCGGGCCUCUCGCGUCAGGAUAUGCCUAGGUGGGAUUAGCUAAUUGGUGAGGUAAGGGCUCACCAAGGCGACGAUCCCUAGCUGGUCUGAGAGGA